Molecule: ribosomal RNA, 440 nt
Filed under: uncultured bacterium
Lineage: Bacteria
Description: partial 16S ribosomal RNA
Rfam family: Bacterial small subunit ribosomal RNA
Source: RNAcentral
CCUACGGGAGGCAGCAGUGGGGAAUAUUGCACAAUGGGGGAAACCCUGAUGCAGCGACGCCGCGUGAGCGAUGAAGUAUUUCGGUUUGUAAAGCUCUAUCAGCAGGGAAGAAAAUGACGGUACCUGACUAAGAAGCCCCGGCUAACUCCGUGCCAGCAGCCGCGGUAAUACGUAGGGGGCAAGCGUUACCCGGAAUUACUGGGUGUAAAGGGAGCGUAGACGGCGGUGCAAGUCAGAUGUGAAAGCCCGGGGCUCAACCCCGGGACUGCAUUUGAAACUGUGAUGCUAGAGUGUUGGAGAGGCAGGCGGAAUUCCUGGUGUAGCGGUGAAAUGCGUAGAGAUUAGGAGGAACACCAGUGGCGAAGGCGGCCUGCUGGACUAUAACUGACGUUGAGGCGCGAAAGCGUGGGGAGCAAACAGGAUUAGAUACCCCAGUAGUC